RNAcentral lists this long non-coding RNA (931 nucleotides) under Daucus carota (carrot). RNAcentral's name for it is "long non-coding RNA (DCAR_LNC002545)". Lineage: Eukaryota; Viridiplantae; Streptophyta; Magnoliopsida; Apiales; Apiaceae. The record is from RNAcentral.
GCACCCAAAUUUCUACAGAUCCAUCUUGUUUCCCAGAAAAUUAAAAAACCCAGCUCUCUCCCCCGUAACCUCCGAUUAGGGCUGCUCAUGGGUUGUCCAACCCGUUCAAACCAACCCAACCCAACCUUGAACUAGGCCGACUAACCCGACCCAUUCCAAACCGUGGGUUAAUUGGGUUGAUUUUUGGUUGAGCCGUUUAUAAUGGGUUGGGUCGAAAUAUGACUUUUAAAAACCCUAAACCAACCCAACCCGGUCAAAAUAUAUCUUUAACACUCUGAUAAAUAUUUUUGGUUGCUUACGGAACUAUAUUUACUUAUUUGAUGAUAAGAUGUGCAGUGAGUGUAGUGCAGUGUGCAGAAACAAUUAGAAAUAAAGCUUUAUAAUUCAAAUCAAACGACUCACAUUGCUAGUUCUUAUGAUUAUAUAUCAUGGCGGAAACAUGAUUUUUAAUAGUUAUUAGUGUAUUAAGAUUCAGCUGUCCACCUCAGUAUGAAGAGAAUAUCUGCACUCUAAAAGCACCUGAUAUUUUGUAUCGGUGCAGUGUCCUAUGUUAUUGCUAAUUGAAUACAACAAAAUGGUGCAAAACAUAUUUUGGAUUAUGCUUAUCUUGCAAAAUUUUCAACCCGAUCAACCCUACCCUAACCAACCCAACCCGUCAUACAAUUAGUAAGGUUGGGUUUCUAAUUCUUUUUAUGAUUAAUGGGUUAAAUUUUUCUAACCCGUACUAAAUGGGUUGGGUCGCUUGAAUGGCCGAAACCAACCCAACCCAGCCCAUGUGCAGCCCUACCUCCGAUCGAACACCCCAAAACCCACCACCACCACCACCCUCACAAUCUCUCCUCUCUCACAUUACACACACCUAUACAUACAACCUAUACACACAAACUCACCGAAAUGGAGGUAGUCGACGCGCCAAUAGACGAUAAAGCCA